AUGCCUUAAAACUUAUGAGUAAGGAAAAUUACGAUUCAGGUUGAUGCCCGAAUCCUCACUGCCAAUGUGAGACAAAUUUUUGAGCGGGUAAAGGUUACCCUCAAGGUGACCCACCUGCUUGGUGGGAUGCCUGGGAGUCACGAUCGGCCCA
RNAcentral lists this small nuclear RNA (151 nucleotides) under Carlito syrichta (Philippine tarsier). Its description in RNAcentral is "U12 minor spliceosomal RNA (ENSTSYG00000035908.1)". It matches the Rfam family "U12 minor spliceosomal RNA". From Rfam's summary of the family: Although the U12 sequence is very divergent from that of U2, the two are functionally analogous. The record is from Rfam by way of RNAcentral. Lineage: Eukaryota; Metazoa; Chordata; Mammalia; Primates; Tarsiidae.